GCUUCGUGGUCUGAUGUCAGACCAUGUGGUACCGACCAAUGGGGGCUAGGUUUAACUGCACGCCUGCGCAGUAUAUAUACCUAACACCUAUUCAUGUGAGCGAGACGGAGAAAGAACAACGGUCGUCGUCAUCGUGGCGCAGCAGCAGAUGAUGAACAAGGGUGGGGGAAGGGAAGCACGCGGCAUCAGGAACACGAACUGCAGGAAGUGAGACGAGGGAGGUGAUAUUGGUAGGUACACACAGCCAACAAGUUCCGUAAAGCUGAAUAUUACUACUAUUCUCCUCGUCAUGAUUGUAAUCAGGGCGCGCCGCGAAGGUCGAAUGGGUCUAACCGAGAAGUUCUUCGUAUCAGUUGACUUAUGCAUGUAUAGCUAUGAAUAAAAAAAAAAUAGAUUUCGCCCCUUGUGUACGCGUGUGUCUCCUCCACUACGGGCCUUAGGGACCUUUGUGGUAACCUUGGACGGAUGUGUAUAUAUCAGUGGCAAACCCUGAUUUUUCUACCGAGUAAACAAAAAACGCCCGAAGUGAAAAAAUUGAGCUUCGACAGUAACAUAAUUAUAGAUAUUUAAUUUAAAAAAUCAUGUAUUCAAUAGUAAUUGCUCCCUUUUAAAGAACACCAUACAAAGAUACUAGUUUAGUUUAUGGAAAAGGAGGUGCCCACUUGGACAUGGAGGUAUAAUUGUAUUUUUUCUUAAAUUUUGUUGCGGAAGCGUAAGUAUUUUACUAUAUUGGCGAAAUUUUAAGAGCAAAAAAAUGUUUUGUUCGCUCGGCUUAUGAAUAAAACCGCAUAGUUACCGCCACAAAUUUUGAAGGAAAUAAUGAUGUUUUCCGAGUUAGCAUCUACGACAUCACCGCGACUGAAUUAGCAUAAUGUUAAAGAAGUUCUGCAUUGCACCUAUGUUACAUCA
This is a long non-coding RNA of Copidosoma floridanum, 909 nucleotides long. RefSeq lists it as uncharacterized. Lineage: Eukaryota; Metazoa; Arthropoda; Insecta; Hymenoptera; Encyrtidae. The record is from RefSeq and is a predicted model, not a curated record.